This 497-nucleotide ribosomal RNA is filed under the name uncultured bacterium. RNAcentral's name for it is "partial 16S ribosomal RNA". It matches the Rfam family "Bacterial small subunit ribosomal RNA", at positions 28 to 507 of the family's 1533-position model. The record is from RNAcentral.
GAUGAACGCUGGCGGCGUGCCUAAUCCAUGCAAGUCGAGCGAACAGACGAGGAGCUUGCUCCUCUGACGUUAGCGCCGGACGGGUGAGUAACACGUGGAUAACCUACCUAUUAGACUGGGAUAACUUCGGGAAACCGCAGCCAAUACCGGAUAAUAUAUUGAACCGCAUGGCUCAAUAGUGAAUGUCGGCUUUGCUGUUACUUAUAGAUGGAUCCGCACCGCAUUAGCUAGUUGGUAAUGUAACGGCUUACCAAGGCAACGGUGCGUAGCCGACCUGAGAGGGUGGUCGGCCACACUGGACCUGACCUCUGGUCGCGAGGCACAGGGGAGGCAGAAGUCGGGAAUCUUCCCUGAUGGGCGAAAGGCUGACGUAUCACCGCCGCGAGGGUGAUGAAGGUCUUCGGAUCGUGAAGCUCUGUUUUUAGGGACGAACAGAUGGGUACGUAACUAUGCACGUCUUGACGUUACCCAAUCAGAAAGCCACGGCUAACCACCUG